UACGUAGGGGGCAAGCGUUAUCCGGAUUUACUGGGUGUAAAGGGAGCGUAGACGGCUUUGCAAGCCAGAUGUGAAAGCCCGGGGCUCAACCCCGGGACUGCAUUUGGAACUGUGUGGCUAGAGUGUCGGAGAGGCAGGCGGAAUUCCUAGUGUAGCGGUGAAAUGCGUAGAUAUUAGGAGGAACACCAGUGGCGAAGGCGGCCUGCUGGACGAUGACUGACGUUGAGGCUCGAGAGCGUGGGGAGCAAACAGG
RNAcentral lists this ribosomal RNA (253 nucleotides) under uncultured bacterium. Its description in RNAcentral is "partial 16S ribosomal RNA". It matches the Rfam family "Bacterial small subunit ribosomal RNA", at positions 524 to 776 of the family's 1533-position model. The record is from RNAcentral.